CUCAGAUCGCAUGGCCUUGCGCCGGCGACGGUUCAUUCAAAUUUCUGCCCUAUCAACUUUCGAUGGUAAGGUAUUGGCUUACCAUGGUUUCAACGGGUAACGGGGAAUUAGGGUUCGAUUCCGGAGAGGGAGCCUGAGAAACGGCUACCACAUCCAAGGAAGGCAGCAGGCGCGCAAAUUACCCAAUCCCGACACGGGGAGGUAGUGACAAUAAAUACUGAUACAGGGCUCUUUUGGGUCUUGUAAUUGGAAUGAGUACAAUUUAAACCUCUUAACGAGGAACAAUUGGAGGGCAAGUCUGGUGCCAGCAGCCGCGGUAAUUCCAGCUCCAAUAGCGUAUAUUAAAGUUGUUGCAGUUAAAAAGCUCGUAGUUGAACCUUUGGCCUGGCUGGCAGGUCCGCCUCACCGCGUGUACUUGUCCGGCCGGGCCUUUUCUUCUGGAGAACCGCAUGCCCUUCACUGGGUGUGUUGGGGACCAGGACUUUUACUUUGAAAAAAUUAGAGUGUUCAAAGCAGGCCUUUGCUCGAAUACGUUAGCAUGGAAUAAUAGAAUAGGACGUGCGGUCCUAUUUUGUUGGUUUCUAGGACCGCCGUAAUGAUUAAUAGGGACAGUCGGGGGCAUCAGUAUUCAAUUGUCAGAGGUGAAAUUCUUGGAUUUAUUGAAGACUAACUACUGCGAAAGCAUUUGCCAAGGAUGUUUUCAUUAAUCAGUGAACGAAAGUUAGGGGAUCGAAGACGAUCAGAUACCGUCGUAGUCUUAACCAUAAACUAUGCCGACUAGGGAUCGG
This 788-nucleotide ribosomal RNA is filed under the name Bambusicola didymospora. RNAcentral describes it as "SSU rRNA". It matches the Rfam family "Eukaryotic small subunit ribosomal RNA", at positions 260 to 1056 of the family's 1831-position model. The record is from RNAcentral. Lineage: Eukaryota; Fungi; Ascomycota; Dothideomycetes; Pleosporales; Bambusicolaceae.